UGGGGAAUUUUGGACAAUGGGCGAAAGCCUGAUCCAGCAAUGCCGCGUGUGUGAAGAAGGCCUUCGGGUUGUAAAGCACUUUUGUCCGGAAAGAAAUCCUUGGCUCUAAUACAGUCGGGGGAUGACGGUACCGGAAGAAUAAGCACCGGCUAACUACGUGCCAGCAGCCGCGGUAAUACGUAGGGUGCAAGCGUUAAUCGGAAUUACUGGGCGUAAAGCGUGCGCAGGCGGUUUGCUAAGACCGAUGUGAAAUCCCCGGGCUCAACCUGGGAACUGCAUUGGUGACUGGCAGGCUAGAGUAUGGCAGAGGGGGGUAGAAUUCCACGUGUAGCAGUGAAAUGCGUAGAGAUGUGGAGGAAUACCGAUGGCGAAGGCAGCCCCCUGGGCCAAUACUGACGCUCAUGCACGAAAGCGUGGGGAGCAAAACAGGAUUAGAUACCCUGGUAGUCCACGCCCUAAAACGAUGUCAACUAGUUGUUGGGGAUUCAUUUCCUUAGUAACGUAGCUAACGCGUGAAGUUGACCGCCUGGGGAGUACGGUCGCAAAGAUUAAAACUUAAAGGAAUUGACGGGGUCAUAGCUGUUUCCU
Molecule: ribosomal RNA, 588 nt
Filed under: uncultured bacterium
Lineage: Bacteria
Description: partial 16S ribosomal RNA
Rfam family: Bacterial small subunit ribosomal RNA
Source: RNAcentral